ACUCAAACCACAUCCGACUCAGAAGGCUGAAGCAGAUUGGUGUGUUUUCAUGUGUUUUACUUUAGUUACCAUCAAUAACAAUCUUGAGAGGAAACUGAGCAUGCAGACUCUUGAGGUUUGGCCCUAACAGAACUUUAUUCCACCAGCCGCUGCCAAACUGACCCUCCGCGAGGAAACAGAAGAAUGGGUGUAUGUGCAAGCCAAAAACAUAUGACUCAUCUUUGUGCCGUUUGAUGCAGCUUCCAGCGGGGCUGUUUCCGUGUAAAACAGGCUGGUUUUUGUUAUGUAAUAAUUAACUGCUUAACUACACGGAGACAUGAGAGCUAAAAAAUCUGCCCGCGUCUGUUCUUUAUAAAACAAGGCCUUGUUCUGACUAGACUUUCCACUAUUUUGUGGACAGCACUAUUACCAUUAUGCCAUUAAGGAGUUGAAUGUUGACAUGGAAAAUGUACCAUGGCUUCCACCUGUUGGCAGGACUAUCAUGAUCAUAAACCUUUAGUUGGUGGUUAAUUGGCAAAUUUUUGCCUGUAAAGAAAAACUAUGCACUACAGCAACGACAAGUAUAAGAAUUUAAAGGGCAAUUUCACCCAAAAGGGAAAAUUCAGUAAUUAUCUGCGCACUCUCAUACCUAAGAAAAUGCCAAUGUUUUGCAGUGCACAUAAUAUUUCUGGAGUUUUACGGCGAAACAGUGAUGCAGCGUUUUCCUAAACUGAAGUAGAUGGUGGCUUCUUUUAUAGCGUAAAAAAAAGCGUAGAAAAUGGCUCCAUGCUAUCCACGCCUCUGGAAUCCCUGUGUUCCUAACUUGAUUUGAAAAGAUGCACAUUGAAAUCUUUACUGUAGCUGCAAGGCUAAAAGCUUAAGUGUGCACCCCGUCUGAAGUGGGUGCAUGAGCUCGACCUUGUGUCAAGCGUGUAUAUGUUGUCUUUUGAAAUCAAUUUCUCAGGGCUUCUGGACACUUGGAUUCAGCCGGAUGAACUGUGUGGAGUCAUUUUAUGGUUGUUGGGGUAUUUUUUUUUUUUUUGUUAUUUUUUAAAGGUUUGCAGUGACUCCAGUUGUUCAGGAGAAUGCUGCAACACUGUUUCAAUAUGAAGCUCCAGAAAUGUUUUGUGGACUAGAAAAUCUCAUCCAACUUUCUGCCAGCAUGAGGAAAGUUGCUGACAUCAAUAAGAAUGGAACCUCAUCUGCAAUUGAGCGUUCGCCUACCUGAUGAGGCUCGUGACCGAGUUGGCGUACAGGACGGCACAAAGCAAGAUGUGACCUUUUUUAUUUUUUUUCAUCAUUGGGAAAUCAAGACUUCCACUUCCUCGUACUCCUGUUUCUAUAACUUACAAAAUGCUGCCUGACAUGUUUUUAUGUCAGCUCUCUUACAAGCAAAAGACCUGAACUCAAGAACUUGGA
Acanthopagrus latus (yellowfin seabream) is the source of this 1398-nucleotide long non-coding RNA. RefSeq lists it as uncharacterized. The record is from RefSeq and is a predicted model, not a curated record. The transcript has 2 exons. Lineage: Eukaryota; Metazoa; Chordata; Actinopteri; Spariformes; Sparidae.